UUCAAUUCUCACAUGUCAAGUAUGAAGGUAAAAAUAAAUUAAAAUCCCACUCACCCUUACACGAAGCAAAACAGUACCGGAGGAGUGGUCGGUCUCCCUUCCUCCACCCAACCUGCUGCAGGCGACGACGACGAGGGCGCGCAACGAUGGCCGAGGGUGACGGUCUGUGACUCGACGGCGAGCGGUUCAAAGGAAGGCCAGUGCGGGGCAGCAGAAGAACAAGGGUGGAACCCUACUCCCCGAACCAAUUAUAAGAUUUAUAUUUAAUAUGUCCACUACAACAAAAAGGUAUCUUCUUGGAAAUGCUAUUUUUGUUCUUUUUUCUCGAAUGAAGGAUGUUUGAUAUGUGGUGCUUGCAUAUCCCAGUAGCAGACCAAACACCCUUCCCAGGUACUUCUUUCCCCUAUACCUAGUUAUACUAUUUCAAGUUCAUAAUAUACUCUUUCUCACCAAUUAAUUUAUUUUGUUGUUUUGCCUCUACUUUCUUAAAAUGUUUAGGAGCAUGUUUACUGUAUUCAAAAAUAGGUUCUCAUAUUAUUUCCUUACAUUUUUUGAAAAUUUAUGUAAUCUUUCAAUGAUAUAUGAAAGCAUAAUUUAUUAUUUGUUAUGUUUCCCUCUUGCAGACCUUGUGAAAAUAUUUGAGAUAACACUUAGGUUGGAAUAUCAACGUCACGAAACAGGCCCAUAUAGAUCCUGGAGAGUAUUUAGGAGAAUGCCUUGCACUAGCUGUUGCAGCACUUAACCCUGAUAUUGAUUUUGUAUUCAUUUUGGCAAAACCCAGCAGGCUCAGGAAACUGAUGAAAGAAGAGUGCAACAAAUGGUUAUGCUCAAGUUGGACUCAAAAUUUGCGGCCUUUUCUUACAACUCAUGUCACCCAUUUAGGAGUAUGUUUUUUCUUCGUUUUGUCCACAGCAUUACCAAUUCCUAUCAAUCUAUACUUCAUUCCAAUCAGCUUCUAAAUGGGUUGUCAAAAUCUGGUCGAAUUGAUGUUGCCCGAAAAAUGUUUGAUAAAAUGACUAAAAGGGAUGAGUAUUCAUGGAACACCAUGAUAUCUGGUUAUGUUAAUGCGGGAAGAUUGGUUGAAGCAAGAGAAUUGUUGAAUGGGUUUUCAAGCAGAAGUUCUAUCACUUGGUCCUCCCUCAUAUCGGGGUAUUGUAGAUUUGGGUGUAAAGAUGAGGCUUUUGGUUUGUUUAGGUCGAUGAGGUUGGAGGGACAAAAACCAAGUCAAUACACUUUAGGAAGUAUCCUGAGGGUGUGUUCUGCAUUGUGUUUGAUCCAAAAUGGAAAAAUGAUUCAUGGGUAUGUGGUGAAGAAUGGAUUUGAGUCCAAUGUGUAUGUUGUCACUGGCCUUGUUGACAUGUAUGCAAAGUGCAGGCAUGUUUCGGAAGCUGAGAUUCUCUUCAAGGGUUUGGCCUUUGACAAGGGAAAUCAUGUCCUGUGGACUACCAUGGUUACUGGUUAUGCUCAAAAUGGCGAUGGCCUUAAGGCAAUUGAGUUUUUUUGUUAUAUGCAUGCAGAAGGGGUUGAGUCUAAUCAGUUUACAUUUCCUAGCAUAUUGACAGCAUGUUCUGCUGUUUCAGCUCUUUGUUUUGGAGAACAGGUACAUGGUUGUAUUGUGCGGAAUGGUUUUGGGUGCAAUGUAUAUGUUCAGAGUGCAUUGGUCGAUAUGUAUGCAAAAUGUGGACAUUUAACUAGUGCAAAAAGGGUAUUAGAAAAUAUGGACGAUGAUGAUGUUGUUUCAUGGAACUCUAUGAUAGUUGGGUGUGUAAGACAUGGGUUUGAGGAGGAAGCUCUUCUCUUGUUUAAAAAAAUGCAUGCAAGAAAUAUGAAGAUUGAUGACUAUACAUUUCCAUCUGUUCUGAAUUGUUGCAUAAUAGGUACAAUUGAUGCAAAAUCUGUUCACUGUUUGGUUAUCAAAACUGGAUUUGGGAACUAUAAGCUUGUUAGCAAUGCUAUUGUUGAUAUGUAUGCCAAAACUGGGGAGUUGAAUUGUGCAUAUGCUGUAUUUGAAAAGAUGCUUGAGAAAGAUGUCAUCUCUUGGACCGCCCUCGUCACAGGUUAUGCACAAAAUGGCUCCCAUGAGGAAUCCCUGAAGAUUUUUCGUGACAUGAGAAUUGCUUGGGUAAAUCCUGAUCAAGUUAUUGUCGCAAGUAUUUUGAGUGCCUGUGCAGAACUGACUCUUCUAGUAUUUGGUAAACAAGUGCAUUCUGACUUUAUUAAGUCAGGUCUAAGAUCAUCACUAUCAGUGGAUAAUUCUCUUGUAACCAUGUAUGCAAAAUGUGGCUGCCUGGAUGAUGCUGAUGCAAUUUUUGUUUCAAUGCAUGUCCGGGAUGUAAUUACUUGGACAGCUCUUAUUGUUGGUUAUGCACAGAAUGGUAAAGGAAGACAUUCCUUAAGAUUCUAUGAUGCUAUGGUUUCAUGUGGCACGAAACCAGAUUUUAUCACGUUUAUAGGAUUAUUAUUUGCUUGUAGUCAUGCAGGUCUUGUGGAUGAAGGACGUGCAUAUUUUCAGCAAAUGAAAGAGAUUUACGGAAUAGAACCUGGCCCUGAACAUUAUGCCUGCAUGAUUGAUCUUUUUGGACGGUCAGGAAAGCUCGAUGAGGCCAAAGAAAUACUAAAUCAAAUGGAAGUGAAACCUGAUGCCACUGUAUGGAAGGCACUCCUUGCCGCUUGUAGAGUGCAUGGUAACUUAGAGUUGGGAGAGAGGGCAGCUACAAAACUUUUUCAGUUGGAACCCAUGAAUGCUAUGCCUUAUGUUAUGUUGUCUAACAUGUAUUCUGCAGCUCGUAAAUGGGAUGCUGCUGCGAAAAUACGAAGGUUGAUGAAAUCAAAAGGAAUAGUGAAAGAGCCUGGAUGCAGUUGGAUAGAGAUGAACAGCAAAGUGCAUACAUUCAGUUCAGAAGAUAGAGGACAUCCAAGGGAAGCUGAGAUUUAUUCCAAGAUUGAUGAAAUUAUAGUAAGAAUUAAGGAAGCAGGUUAUGUUCCAGAUAUGAAUUUUUCUUUGCAUGACAUGGAUAGGGAGGGAAUGGAGGUUGGUCUUGCUUACCACAGUGAAAAAUUGGCUGUUGCUUUUGGAUUACUCGCUUCUCCACCCGGUGCAGCAAUUCGGAUAUUUAAGAAUCUCAGAGUUUGUGGAGAUUGUCAUUCCGCUAUGAAAUAUAUAUCAGGAAUUUUCGCUCGUCAUAUCAUUUUGAGAGAUUCCAAUUGUUUUCAUCAUUUUAGAGAAGGAAAAUGUUCUUGUGGGGAUUACUGGGGGUUUUUGCUAUGGAGAAAAUGUUCCCUGAGUGGAUUUCAGUAUUAAUGUCAGCCACCAUGUUGGCUAUCACUGCAGAGAGUUUGAUCACAGAUUAUCCCUCAAGCCUUGUGUUCUCGAUGUGGUUUAAGUGUUGGAGCAGCAUUCCAAUAAAUUAAAGAUGUGAAGUAAAUCAGGGUUUUCAACUUAUAUGUGAAUUGUGAGCAUUAUCAUUCUUACUGCCUGAAACAUAGAUAGGUUCGAUCUGGGUUGAAAGCUUGGUAAUUGUUGGCUUUGCUGUCUUACCCUGAAUGCCCGAAUACGUGGCUUUCAUAUGUUAUGGAAUGAUAAUAUUGUGGAGUCACUCAACUUGCUGACUUCAUUUUUGAAGUAUUCUGUUCUGUGUUUACACUUUCUGAACGUUGUUUAUCGUAUAAGGAAUGAUGUUAUUAGGCCUUGUGUUCAUAAAACUGCUUCAUGGUUUUAUUUACCAACACAUGAGACAGAUUUGAACUUACAGUGAAACUUAUUUUGUGCUGUCAGCUUCUGUUUUAGAUUUUUUUCCCAAAACAAACUAUUGAAUAUUUUCUAAAAUUUAGUGCAGUUAACAAUUCGAUUCAGUUUAUACUAUAGUUCAGUGUAAUUUAGGACAGUUUAAUUCAAUGCAGUGUAAUUUGAUAGAGUAAAAUAUAGUUUAGUUUAGUUUGUCUGAACUAUUUUUUAGUUUAGUUUAGUUCACAUGCAAAGUAAUUCUUAGUAGUUUUUACUUUAGUGUAGUUCUUAUCAAUAUAGUUCAGUGCAGUUUAUUUUGCCCAAAUAGGUCAUCUCUAGAACAUGUGAGAAUUUACAUUAAUUCUCUUCAUCUCAUACAUAGAGGAAAUUUCAAUUUGUUUUGUAAAAAUUAGUUUCCAUGAAGUUCUGUGAGAAUUCUUUGGGUGAUAUUUGCAAUUCAUACUUGUAUAUUGUAUUUUGGUAGAUACUUGUUUAUGUCAAAACGUUCUCUUGUUUUUUUUUUGUUUGAUACUCAGAUACUGCAUGAAGUAACAUAUAAUGAACUUAAUGGCAGUUGUCCAAUGUGUUUGGAGAGAGUGGGGUUGAUCAGUUGGUUGAUAUCAUUAAGAUCUUGGGAACACCUACCAGAGAAAAAAAUAAAGUGCAUAAAUCCAAAUUACACUGAAUUUAAGUUUCCUCAGAUAAAAGCUCAGCCGUCGCACA
RNA transcript from Vigna angularis (adzuki bean), 4447 nucleotides. It is a transcript of the gene named pentatricopeptide repeat-containing protein At2g03880, mitochondrial, with no coding region annotated. The transcript is spliced from 6 exons. Lineage: Eukaryota; Viridiplantae; Streptophyta; Magnoliopsida; Fabales; Fabaceae. The record is from RefSeq and is a predicted model, not a curated record.